Molecule: unclassified non-coding RNA, 287 nt
Filed under: uncultured fungus
Lineage: Eukaryota; Fungi
Description: sequence contains ITS1, 5.8S rRNA gene
Rfam family: 5.8S ribosomal RNA (bases 239-287)
Source: RNAcentral
UUUUCGUAGGUGAACCUGCGGAAGGAUCAUUAGUGAAAUAUACAAUUGGGAAAGUGCGGACUUUGCAAAAAGAAAGCCUUUCUUUCAAUCAAUAUCCACUUUUACACACACUGUGCACUUGUUUUUCAUUUUAUUACUUCUAGAUCCAAUUCAUUUUGGUCUGGCAAGUUUUAAGAUAUACACUUGUGAAAAAACUGUUAAAAGUCCAAGUUGAUAAUAUUUGAUAAUACGAAAGUAAAACUUUCAGCAAUGGAUCUCUUGGCUCUCGCAUCGAUGAAGAACGCAGC